Molecule: long non-coding RNA, 311 nt
Organism: Drosophila persimilis
Lineage: Eukaryota; Metazoa; Arthropoda; Insecta; Diptera; Drosophilidae
Exons: 3
Source: RefSeq, a predicted model, not a curated record
AUAGCACAAGACUCAAAGGUCAACAUAAUAGCAUGAAUUAAACUUGAAUUUAGUAAGAGGGGGACACCAACAAGAGGACCACGCUUUUUCUGGGGCAAAUUCAAGGCGGCAACGACUAGGGAGCCUUCUUCAAAGUAAUCGGCUGCAAUGUUGCAAAGCUGCAGGUCCUAGCAACACUGGCACGCACUUGAGGGUCACAUACUUAUGUGCAAAAGGCACAACUUUUGGAGCGUUUACACCCAUUUCUAGUUCAAUCGAGUGGACGGCACAUCAUGGAUCGUAAUCCAUUAGAAUGUUGCUCAACAUAUGUG